CUAAAGCUAAAUAUUGGCGAGAGACCGAUAGCGAACAAGUACCGUGAGGGAAAGAUGAAAAGCACUUUGGAAAGAGAGUUAAACAGUACGUGAAAUUGCUGAAAGGGAAACGCUUGAAGUCAGUCGCGUUUGCUAGAACUCAGCCUGGCUUCGGCUUGGUGCAUUUUCUAGUGAACGGGCCAGCAUCACUUUUGGUUGCGGGAUAAAGGUCGCAGAAAUGUGGCACCCUCGGGUGUGUUAUAGUCUGCGGCUGUAUACCGUGGCUGGGAGUGAGGAACUCAGCACGCGCAAGCUGUGCUUAGGAUGCUGGCGUAAUGGCUUUAAACGACCCGUCUUGA
RNAcentral lists this ribosomal RNA (338 nucleotides) under Hyphodermella rosae. Its description in RNAcentral is "partial large subunit ribosomal RNA". It matches the Rfam family "Eukaryotic large subunit ribosomal RNA", at positions 310 to 657 of the family's 3401-position model. The record is from RNAcentral. Lineage: Eukaryota; Fungi; Basidiomycota; Agaricomycetes; Polyporales; Phanerochaetaceae.